GACGAACGCUGGCGGCGUGCCUAAUACAUGAAAGUCGAGCGAACGGACGAGAAGCUUGCUCCUUGGAUGAGAGCGGCAGGCGGGGGUGUAACAUGUGGAUAACCUACCUAUAAGACUGGGAACUCCUCGAGAAACCGGAGCAAAUAGGGGAGGAUAUUCUGAACCACAGGGUUCAAAGGUGAAAGACGGCCUUGCUGUCACUUAUAGAUGGAUCCGCGCUGCAUGAGCUAGUUGGUAAGGUAACGGCUUACCAAGGCAACGAUGCAUAGCCGACCUGAGAGGGGGAUCGGCCACACGGGAGCUGAGACGCGGUCCAGACUCCUACGGGAGGCCGCAGUAGGGAAUCUUCCGCAAUGGGCGAAAGCCUGACGGAGCAACGCCGCGUGAGUGAUGAAGGUCUUCGGAUCGUGAUACUCUGUUAUUAGGGGAGAACAGAUGUGUAAGUAACUGUGCACAUCUUGACGGUACCUAAUCAGAAAGCCACGGCUAACUACGUG
Molecule: ribosomal RNA, 497 nt
Filed under: uncultured bacterium
Lineage: Bacteria
Description: partial 16S ribosomal RNA
Rfam family: Bacterial small subunit ribosomal RNA
Source: RNAcentral